CCUACGGGUGGCAGCAGUGAGGAAUAUUGGUCAAUGGCCGGAAGGCUGAACCAGCCAAGCCGCGUGAAGGACGAAGGUGCCAAGCAUUGUAAACUUCUUUUGUCAAGGGACAAAAUCAGGCUCGAGAGCCUGACCGAGGGUACUUGAAGAAAAAGCAUCGGCUAACUCCGUGCCAGCAGCCGCGGUAAUACGGAGGAUGCGAGCGUUAUCCGGAUUUAUUGGGUUUAAAGGGUGCGUAGGGGGACGGUUAAGUCAGCGGGAAAAGCCCGGGGCUCAACCCCGGCGAGCCGUUGAAACUGGCAGUCUUGAGAUGUGGAGAGGUAGGCGGAAUGCGCGGUGUAGCGGUGAAAUGCUUAGAUAUUGCGAAGAACUCCGAUUGCGAAGGCAGCAUACCGGCGG
Molecule: ribosomal RNA, 399 nt
Filed under: uncultured bacterium
Lineage: Bacteria
Description: partial 16S ribosomal RNA
Rfam family: Bacterial small subunit ribosomal RNA
Source: RNAcentral